This is a non-coding RNA of Leptonychotes weddellii (Weddell seal), 717 nucleotides long. Lineage: Eukaryota; Metazoa; Chordata; Mammalia; Carnivora; Phocidae. The record is from RefSeq and is a predicted model, not a curated record.
AAUCGAAGCACUCUGUAUGCAUUAUUUGAUCUUAACAACCGCAUGAGGUAAGCUUUACAGCUCUACGCUAUAGAUGCAGAAACCAGGAUUCUGAGAGGGUAAGUUAUUUGUUCACAGUCACACAGACUAAUAAUUGGCAGGGCUGGGAUGUCAAUCUAGGUCAUCCUGACUCCACUGUAUACUCCAGUGUAGGGCUCGAACUCAUGACCCUGAGAUCAAGACCUGAGCUGAGGUCAAGAGUCAGAUGCCUAGCUGAUUGAGCCAUGCGGAUGCCCCCAUUUUAGCCAUUCUGUAUACUGCCCUGAAUCAGAACUGGCUGUCCAAUGUCUUUGAUUUGCUCUUCUCAAGAAUUCGAGAGAAGUUUUGCUCUGGAAAUCCAACACCUUUUUUUUUUUUUUAUAUCCAGUGAUAAACUGUGGCAUGGAGGUAGAGGAUGAAGCCGGGAGAGGGGGGUGGCUCUGAAGCAGAUCAGCUUGAACGAGCAUUGAUUUUGUAAAGCCUGGUGGAUGGUGAGGAAGAGGCGAGCUGACUCAAUGAGGCAGGAGGCUUUUUACAUCAAGUAUAAGGGAACAGAUUUCUCCUCUCCAUGCCAAUAGGAACCCCCUCUGAUCUUCUAACUGGUAAAGUACAAAAUCCAAAAACCUCUUAGCCCUCUGUUUUUCAACCUUGAGUGGUAUUUGGAUCCAUUUCUAAAGGGAAAAAAAAAAUUGUGAAAAC